This 242-nucleotide ribosomal RNA is filed under the name uncultured bacterium. RNAcentral's name for it is "partial 16S ribosomal RNA". It matches the Rfam family "Bacterial small subunit ribosomal RNA", at positions 355 to 588 of the family's 1533-position model. The record is from RNAcentral.
UAGGGAAUCUUCGGCAAUGGACGAAAGUCUGACCGAGCAACGCCGCGUGAGUGAAGAAGGUUUUCGGAUCGUAAAACUCUGUUGGUAGAGAAGAACGUUGGUGAGAGUGGAAAGCUCAUCAAGUGACGGUAACUACCCAGAAAGGGACGGCUAACUACGUGCCAGCAGCCGCGGUAAUACGUAGGUCCCGAGCGUUGUCCGGAUUUAUUGGGCGUAAAGCGAGCGCAGGUGGUUUAUUAAGU